AUGAUUAGUGGCGAACGGGUGAGUAACACGUGAGUAACCUGCCCCUGACUCUGGGAUAAGCCUGGGAAACUGGGUCUAAUACCGGAUAUGCACCGUGGACCGCAUGGUUCUUGGUGGAAAGAAUUUUGGUCAGGGAUGGACUCGCGGCCUAUCAGCUUGUUGGUGAGGUAAUGGCUCACCAAGGCGACGACGGGUAGCCGGCCUGAGAGGGUGACCGGCCACACUGGGACUGAGACACGGCCCAGACUCCUACGGGAGGCAGCAGUGGGGAAUAUUGCACAAUGGGCGAAAGCCUGAUGCAGCGACGCCGCGUGAGGGAUGACGGCCUUCGGGUUGUAAACCUCUUUCAGUAGGGAAGAAGCGAAAGUGACGGUACCUGCAGAAGAAGCGCCGGCUAACUACGUGCCAGCAGCCGCGGUAAUACGUAGGGCGCAAGCGUUAUCCGGAAUUAUUGGGCGUAAAGAGCUCGUAGGCGGUUUGUCGCGUCUAUCGUGAAAGUCCGAGGCUCAACCUCGGAUCUGCGGUGGGUACGGGCAGACUAGAGUGAUGUAGGGGAGACUGGAAUUCCUGGUGUAGCGGUGAAAUGCGCAGAUAUCAGGAGGAACACCGAUGGCGAAGGCAGGUCUCUGGGCAUUAACUGACGCUGAGGAGCGAAAGCAUGGGGAGCGAACAGGAUUAGAUACCCUGGUAGUCCAUGCCGUAAACGUUGGGCACUAGGUGUGGGGGACAUUCCACGUUUUCCGCGCCGUANCUAACGCAUUAAGUGCCCCGCCUGGGGAGUACCGGCCNCAAGGCUAAAACUCAAAGGAAUUGACGGGGGGCCCCGCACAAGCGGCGGAGCAUGCNGAUUAAAUUCNAUGCAACGCGAAAAANCCUUACCAAGGCUUGACAUGUGCCAAAACCCCCCNUGGNAAACCCNGN
This 921-nucleotide ribosomal RNA is filed under the name Arthrobacter sp. SBC-4. RNAcentral's name for it is "bacterial SSU rRNA". It matches the Rfam family "Bacterial small subunit ribosomal RNA", at positions 88 to 1012 of the family's 1533-position model. Lineage: Bacteria; Bacillati; Actinomycetota; Actinomycetes; Micrococcales; Micrococcaceae. The record is from RNAcentral.